This 422-nucleotide ribosomal RNA is filed under the name uncultured bacterium. Its description in RNAcentral is "partial 16S ribosomal RNA". It matches the Rfam family "Bacterial small subunit ribosomal RNA", at positions 360 to 774 of the family's 1533-position model. The record is from RNAcentral.
AAUAUUGGACAAUGGGGGCAACCCUGAUCCAGCCAUCCCGCGUGUGUGAAGAAGGUCUUCGGAUUGUAAAGCACUUUAAGUUGGGAGGAAGGGCUUUAGGCUAAUACCCUGAAGUUUUGACGUUACUAACAGAAUAAGCACGGGCUAACGCUGACCCAGCAGCCGCGGUAAUACAGCGGGGGCAAGCGUAAAUCGGAAUGACUGGGCGUAAAGCGCGCGUAGGUUGAUCAGUAAGAUGGGUGUGAAAUCCCCCGGCUUAACCUGGGAACUGCUUUCAUAACUGCUGAGCUAGAGUACGGUAGAGGGUAGUGGAAUUUCCUGUGUAGCGGUGAGAUGCGUAGAUAUAGGAAGGAACACCAGUGGCGAAGGCGACUACCUGGACUGAUACUGACACUGAGGUGCGAAAGCGUGGGGAGCAAACA